Molecule: unclassified non-coding RNA, 3508 nt
Filed under: Zerene cesonia (dogface butterfly)
Lineage: Eukaryota; Metazoa; Arthropoda; Insecta; Lepidoptera; Pieridae
Description: guanine nucleotide exchange factor DBS-like, transcript variant X7
Source: RNAcentral
AACGGUAUCCGUAGUAAAAUAACUCGCUGUCUUAUAGGUAGUUCUUCGUUCUUCAAUCUUUUUUAAAAAUACGUGAUGAUAAAAAUAUAAAUUAAUUUCAAUAAUAAUGACUGUAAAUAAUAUCAUGUGUUUUUUACCAGAAUAUACAGGUAGUCGGCAUUGUCAGUUUUAUUUUGGCAUUACGAAAAUUAUCAAUACUUAAUACAAAAUGCCAUAGUCCGAAAACAGUGUUGUGUUUGUUUGCGGUGUUUCGGUGGUAACGAUGGCUAACUCCCCGACAAGUAUUGAGACGCAAAUAGACAGUUUCUUAGAACAAUUUAAAAGAAGUGCUUCGAAAGCCAUGGAAGAACGUAUGGAAUGGCCUGAUGGUCCAUCGCCUGGCGCAGUCGUCAAAUCUCGCAGUAGCUGUUUUGCUUUAGAUUCUGCUUCUGAAGCGGAAUGCGACGGCUGCAGCAGCGACAAUGACGAAGGGCGCAGCGUGGGGGAGCUGCUGUUACCGCAGUAUGCGCUGGCCACGGGCGGGCUGGCGCGGGACCACAGGCCACUCAUCACGUUCCCAGAUAAUAACAACUUCCACGUGCUCACCGCUACGGAAUACCGACGGCUGCUGCUUUACCUCACUUCUGUGCCCUCAUUGUUAGAAGCGGAAAUGGGUUUCCAUAUAAUAAUAGAUCGACGGAAAGACAGAUGGAAUUCGGUUAAAGCAACAUUAUUAAGGAUAUCCGAGUUUUUCCCGGGCGUUAUCCACGCGGUAUACGUCCUCCGGCCGGCCAGUUUCUUACAAAAAGCCCUGUCUGAAGUGAGCAGUAAGUUGUUCAAGGAGGAGUUCAGAUUCAGGGUGCUCGUCUGUUCUACUGUGGACGAGUUGUAUGAACACUUCGACAAGUCGCAACUAACUCCGGACUUGGGGGGCGAAUUACAGUACUCGCAUUCUGAAUGGAUACAGCAACGGAUAGCGCUAGAGAAAUUUUCGACUCUAAUGAAGGAAAUCUCGACUAAACUGGACGAGUUUAUGCACGAGAUCGUCGAUUGCGACAUGGGCAAUGAUCCCACUCAAACCAAAGAAUUGUUAGAUUGUCAAGAAUCUAGUUAUAAAGCUUUAAAAACUGAACUGGCGUCGGCAACGUCGCAAGGCGAGGAAUUGCUGACGCAAGUGCGAAAACCAAAUCUUACAUAUAAUAUUAUAAGUCACGUGGCUGCCGUUGAGAGGCUACUUGUACAACUUGAAGAGACUGAGAAACAAUUUGAUAAUUUCUGGAAGAAACAUUCAAUGAAAUUAAACCAUUGGCUGAAAUUUAGAACAUUUUUAUUAAAUUUUAAACAAAUGCAGGCUACUUUAGAUACACAUUUAAAGACGGCAUGCGAUAUGACUGAAGUUGGAGAAACUGCUAAUAGAGUUGACGGUCUCUUAGAAGAAGCUAGUGAAUUUGAAAAAUUAUGUAACUGUGAUCUCGAUGCCGCAUCAUUAGUAAUUGAUGAAGGUGAAAAAUUAAUGCAAGAUCCUUUAAGUUCAGUGGACCAUAUAGAAUCGAAAUGUGAAGAAUUAAGACGAACUAGUGCUUUACUAAUUGACAAAAUACAAAAACGAAAUUUACUUUUAACAAAAGCAAGAGAGCUGAUGGAUAGAAUAGACAAGGCAAACGAGUGGUGCACAACGGGAGUGGAGAUUUUAGCUGGAGAAGGUGGCCUAAUAGCCGUGGACAAGUUAUUAGAAGACGCAAAAAGCUUUGGUCUUACGUCACCUGAUGAAUUCCGAGACAUGCUUAUGCAGACUGCAACGCAAGAAACUCGAGCGCUUGUCACUCAGGUGUCACAAAGGGUGGAGGACGUUUGGCUGAUGGUGACGGUGAAGCGUGCGACGCUGCAGCGAGCGGCGGCAAAACCUGCACGCCCCGUGCAGUCUGUGCCGCCGCAGAGCGCUGCGCUGCAGCCGCCCGUCGAACAGAUGGAGACAUCAGGCGGAUCAGAGAGCUCAGGGGGCGAAGACGCAGAGGCUCGGCGGUCGAGGCGUGGCCACGUGUUGGCUGAACUCCUUCAGACGGAAAGAAUUUACGUACAAGAACUAGGCUCCAUACUGGCUGGCUAUAAAGAAGAAAUGGAAAAACCAGAAAAUCAGCAUAUACUACCGGCAGGACUAAUUGGACAAGCGGAUGUUUUAUUUGGAAAUCUGCACGAACUUUUCACAUUCCACCAAGAAGUAUUUUUAAAAGAUUUGGAAAAAUCGAUCUCAGCGACAGAACUAGUUGCACUCUGCUUUGUUGAAAAAAAAGAAACAUUCUAUCACCUAUACAGUUACUAUUGCCAAAACAUACCCCGGUCAGAAAGGUUACGAGAGACAUUGGUCGACACGCACCUCUUCCUACAAGCGUGCCAACAGCGGCUCGGCCACAAACUGCCCUUGGCUGCGUAUCUACUCAAACCAGUGCAGAGGAUUACUAAAUACCAGCUCUUAAUAAAGGACCUGCUCCGGUACAGCGAGUGCGGGUCGAUGAGCGCGAGCCUGCAGCAGGCGCUCGACUGCAUGCUCGUCGUGCUCAAGUGCGUCAACGACUCCAUGCACCAGAUCGCUAUUACUGGAGUGCCUGUGGACCUGAACCAGCAGGGCGAGCUGCUGCUGCAGGGCUCGUUCCUGGUGGUGUCGGAGAACAAGCGCGACCUGCGGCUGCGCCUGCGCCCGCGCCGCCGCCACAUCUUCCUCUACGAGAAGGCGAUGCUCUUCUGCAAGCCCGCCGCUAAGAACAGCCACAAUAAGACCUAUCACUUCAAACAUGACUUGCAGAUGUCGCAGAUCGGGCUGACGGAGUCGGUGAAGGGCGACCCGCGCAAGUUCGAGGUGUGGCGGCAGGGGCGCGCCGAGGUGCACACCAUCACCGCGCCCUCCGCCGACGCCAAGCGCGCCUGGGUCGAGCGCAUCAAGCGCGUGCUGCUCGACCAGCUGCACGAGCUCAAGGGCGAGCGCGGCCGCCAGUACGCGGCGCACCACAGAACGCUUAUACAGACGAGUUCAUGGGACAUAGGGCCCCAAAAGGAGCGGGCGCACCCGGGCGGGCACCCCGCGCGCACCGCCUCGUGCGACGCGCACGACGAGCCGUGCUGGUCCACCGACCCGUCCGACGACGACGAGGAGGAGCCCGAGCACGCGCCGGUGACGGAGGCCGUGGGUCUCAACGGUACCAUCCACAGAAUGGUACAGUUCUUUUCUGUAUCGGGCUCGGCACAAGCCAACUCCACGUUUUACGUGUCACAGUACUGAUAGAGUGCCUUCGCGGGCUUUGUAUAUAAAAGACUGAUUUAGAUAUCCAAAGUAUGUUAUAACCAAAGAAAUCGGCGUUACGUUGGAUAUGUCAGUUGUAUUUGCUGAACAUUUAUAUCGUGCGGUGGGCAGCUCGCUGGUGGCGCUGUCGGAGUACGCGGCGGUGGGCGCCAGCGAGGUGUCGCUGCGCGAGGGGCAGCACGCCGAGCUGCUCAAGGUGGGCUGCGCGGGCUGGUGGUACGUGCGCCUCGCAGG